This 253-nucleotide ribosomal RNA is filed under the name uncultured bacterium. RNAcentral describes it as "partial 16S ribosomal RNA". It matches the Rfam family "Bacterial small subunit ribosomal RNA", at positions 524 to 776 of the family's 1533-position model. The record is from RNAcentral.
UACGGAGGGGGCUAGCGUUGUUCGGAAUUACUGGGCGUAAAGCGCGCGUAGGCGGCUUUGUAAGUCAGAGGUGAAAGCCUGGAGCUCAACUCCAGAACUGCCUUUGAAACUACAUCGCUAGAAUCAUGGAGAGGUUAGUGGAAUUCCGAGUGUAGAGGUGAAAUUCGUAGAUAUUCGGAAGAACACCAGUGGCGAAGGCGACUAACUGGACAUGUAUUGACGCUGAGGUGCGAAAGCGUGGGGAGCGAACAGG